Molecule: long non-coding RNA, 437 nt
Organism: Dendronephthya gigantea
Lineage: Eukaryota; Metazoa; Cnidaria; Anthozoa; Malacalcyonacea; Nephtheidae
Exons: 3
Source: RefSeq, a predicted model, not a curated record
UGAAAUGUUGGUUGUAUUAAUCUUGUUUUUGUUGUUUUUUUUUAGAAAAUGUCUACCGCCCGGCUGUUCAAACACCUAACCACCAGGACCACGAUCUUUUGAUAAAGAUUCAAAGUGAUGUGGCGUCCCUGAAAAGGUCUGUUCUGGCAUUGUCCGAAACCCAGCAGGAGAUUUUGGACAAUGUAAAACGAAUCAGGCGCUCGGCUGAAACCAAAAAUUUUAAUCUGGCAAAUUGUAGCCAUACUGACAACAUCAUCCGACUUCUUGGGAAAUACUAUAUGUGCAAGGGGAGAUUUUCUUUGCAGUCCCCUGAGAAAGAGAGAUCAUUGAAGUUGGAGUUCUCCAACUCUCCAACAGGCCUAAGUUGUCAGGAACUAUUGUUGAGGUUCCAGAAGUUUGAGAAGGCCAAACUCUCUUAUUGGAGAAGUGAGGAAAGA